UGGUCUUCAUUAUGUGCCCUUAGACAUAU
Molecule: non-coding RNA, 29 nt
Filed under: Mus musculus (house mouse)
Lineage: Eukaryota; Metazoa; Chordata; Mammalia; Rodentia; Muridae
Source: RNAcentral